Molecule: ribosomal RNA, 253 nt
Filed under: uncultured bacterium
Lineage: Bacteria
Description: partial 16S ribosomal RNA
Rfam family: Bacterial small subunit ribosomal RNA
Source: RNAcentral
UACGGGGGGGGCAAGCGUUGUUCGGAAUUACUGGGCGUAAAGGGUGCGUAGGUGGCGCUGUAAGUCGGGUGUGAAAUCCUGAGGCUUAACCUCGGAACUGCAUUCGAUACUGCGGUGCUUGAGGACUGGAGAGGAGACUGGAAUUCAUGGUGUAGCAGUGAAAUGCGUAGAGAUCAUGAGGAAGACCAGUGGCGAAGGCGGGUCUCUGGACAGUUCCUGACACUGAGGCACGAAGGCCAGGGGAGCAAACGGG